UUCGGUUUAAGAGGCCAGUUUUGAUGGCCUCAUAAUUCUAAACUUUUAAAUUGUUUUAAAAAAUGCUUCAAAUGAUAUUUAUUGAAUAUAAAUACAUGAAUGAUGGUUGCAUAAAUAGCUUUAAUAGUUUAUAUUGUUAUUUGACUAUGAUAACAUUCACCUUGCUUUUUAUGACCUUUCCAUAUAUGGUCCUUUAAACCAUGAUUUGUGUGUGAGAAAUUUGAACAGCGCCUCUGUAGGCGGGAAGUGGUACUGCAAUGCAUACACACUCGCGCCAUAUUACACACAAUUCCCCGCCAUCUCAUGCAAUUGCGGGAAAACGUCACUAGCAUUGAAGAUCAUGGAGCGUGUUGGCGCGUUUGGGAGCAGUUAGUGCGGAGCUGCAAUAAAAAAUGAAUUUGGUGAGGAGUCGAAGCAGAGGAUUCAGUCCUCUUAAAGACGCUGAGCAUCAUGGGAGGCUGGGCAAAGACGUGGAAAAACUCACGUGGAGAUUUAUCAGUCACACCAAAGGGCGAGGUGUGUUUGCAAAAGGCCCUUUUUUUAAAGGGUCAUUUAUUGUAGAAUAUAGAGGAAUCUUAAGCAAAAAUGUUGAACCAUCCAAUGAAUACACCUACAUUUUUAUGCACAAAGGAAAUGAAUACUGUUGGUUUUUAUGACCUCUGUAGCAUUGAUGCUUCAAGGGAGGAUGGAUCACUUGGGAGACUAAUUAACGAUGACCCGAAACCCAAUGCAAA
Long non-coding RNA from Triplophysa rosa, 734 nucleotides. RefSeq lists it as uncharacterized. The transcript has 4 exons. NCBI's taxonomy places the organism in Eukaryota, Metazoa, Chordata, Actinopteri, Cypriniformes, Nemacheilidae. The record is from RefSeq and is a predicted model, not a curated record.